CCACACAGACAACUCUGUCGCUGCGCAUCUACCCUGCGCACACGCACUUCAACAAGCCCUCUUUCUCUCUCUGUGCGUGCGUAGCGUCGCUGUCACGUCUAGCGAUGAGCACAGCUGGCGCGGAACGUUUCGCCUAGAGAGCAUCCGGCCAGGGAGGACCGCGGGUGCUGCCUGCGAUGUACAACCCCACCCCCUGCCGGGGCAGAACACCGACAGCAGACUCGAACACGCAGGGACUAAGGGACAACCCCGCCACACUGCGGCGCACGCGUAGUGUGGGUGUGCGAGCGAAAGGCGAGUAGUUGCGCAUCUCGUUUCUCCUCUUCGACCUCCUUCCCCUUCUGUCGCACCGCUGCCCAGCGAGAUCAGCACCCACCCCGCUGAUAAAGCCGUUGCGUGGCGUGGUGAGAGAUGGAAGGGGAGGGUCUGCCGCCGGAGAGUCGAUCCGUUACUUCUUGACGUUGGCGCCACGCAUAUGCCCAUUUCCCUGUCUUUCUUCAAUGCGUUUUCCGCCACACUUCAGUCACGCGAUGAUGAUGAGGAGCACCUCCGCGCGCGGUGCCACAAUGUUCAGUGGCCCCACCCUGUGUGGCUAAGCCAGGGCGAUGCACCGCUACUUGUGCCCAGCGGUUAGACCCUGGACGGCGUGGCGUCGGAGCGACCUGCGACGGUGAACACGCCCGUGCCAUCCAUGCGAUAGGCCGCGUGCCAGCGCGACUCGGACGCAUGUCACCCUCGGCCUUCGCACCGCCUACUGGUGCGGGGAGAGCCCGCGUGUCACACCCCGAGGGGGUUGGGAGGGUGGGGAAUGCGCCAGGGGUGGCGACCCGCGAGGCGGGGGCUUGCGAGCAGGUAGCGUGUGAGGCCCAGGCCCUGCUCAGGUAACUGAGUCGGCGCGGUGCUGCAACUCGCGUGUGUGUGCGGCCGCUUCGCACGACGCGGAUGGUGGGGGGCCCGUGACGGGCUCUUGUGGUGGAGCGGCGCUCCGCUCAUGCUGUAGGGCAGCGCAGAUACGUGUGGAAAUCAAACAUGACUCUCCCUCUCCUUCGCGCUGCUGAGGUCUUUUUUGCCUCUUGUAGGGGCUCUCAGCUGUUUCACAGGCCGGCCUCCGGCCGCGACAUGCGGGCACAUGCAUGCGCCUAUCGGGUAUGGCGGCUCCCUGUGCCUCCCUCUGCUGUCGGGGAGGAUGCGAACUAGUUUGACUUCCUUGUCUUUCCGCACAAAUCAUGUCCCGCUCGAGUGCCCCCCCCCCCCCCCCCCCCCCCACCCCACCCCCGAUCCUGUACGUCGUCGGGUGAGGCGUGAAGGACGAGAGAUUCGGGGUUUCACACUGCACCUCCGCAGAAGCUAUCAGAGAGAGGAAAAGCAAUACCGGAAAGCGCGGAAGGCAGAGGCCUGCGCCCUCUACCUGGCUACAUCCAGCGCGUCUGCGUGUGCUUGUGUGUGAUGAUGGCCCACAGGAAGUCAGAGCACGGGACGGGACACCUCAAGCCAGUAAUCGUCUUCUCCUCAUUCCACCUCUCUGUUCUCACACCUGCAG
Molecule: unclassified non-coding RNA, 1540 nt
Filed under: Leishmania donovani
Lineage: Eukaryota; Euglenozoa; Kinetoplastea; Trypanosomatida; Trypanosomatidae
Description: gene:unknown
Source: RNAcentral